GACGAACGCUGGCGGCGUGCUUAACACAUGCAAGUCGAACGGUGAAGCGCCUUCCUUUUUGGUGGGUGUGGAUGAGUGGCGAACGGGUGAGUAACACGUGAGUAACCUGCUCCCUUCUUCUGGAUAACCGCAUGAAAGUGUGGCUAAUACGGGAUAUUCUGGGUCUGUCGCAUGAUGGGUCUGGGAAAGAUAUUGUUUCGGUGGGGGAUGGGCUCGCGGCCUAUCAGCUUGUUGGUGGGGUGAUGGCCUACCAAGGCGGUGACGGGUAGCCGGCCUGAGAGGGUGGACGGUCACACUGGGACUGAGACACGGCCCAGACUCCUACGGGAGGCAGCAGUGGGGAAUAUUGCACGAUGGGCGCAAGCCUGAUGCAGCGACGCCGCGUGAGGGAUGGAGGCCUGCGGGUUGUGAACCUCUUUCGCCAGUGAAGCAGGCCUGCCUCGUUUGUGGGUGGGUUGACGGUAGCUGAAGAAGAAGCGCCGGCUAACUACGUG
This 494-nucleotide ribosomal RNA is filed under the name uncultured bacterium. RNAcentral's name for it is "partial 16S ribosomal RNA". It matches the Rfam family "Bacterial small subunit ribosomal RNA", at positions 28 to 507 of the family's 1533-position model. The record is from RNAcentral.